Molecule: ribosomal RNA, 713 nt
Filed under: Bacillus sp. (in: firmicutes)
Lineage: Bacteria; Bacillati; Bacillota; Bacilli; Caryophanales; Bacillaceae
Description: bacterial SSU rRNA
Rfam family: Bacterial small subunit ribosomal RNA
Source: RNAcentral
AGUCGAGCGGACAGAUGGGAGCUUGCUCCCUGAUGUUAGCGGCGGACGGGUGAGUAACACGUGGGUAACCUGCCUGUAAGACUGGGAUAACUCCGGGAAACCGGGGCUAAUACCGGAUGCUUGUUUGAACCGCAUGGUUCAAACAUAAAAGGUGGCUUCGGCUACCACUUACAGAUGGACCCGCGGCGCAUUAGCUAGUUGGUGAGGUAACGGCUCACCAAGGCGACGAUGCGUAGCCGACCUGAGAGGGUGAUCGGCCACACUGGGACUGAGACACGGCCCAGACUCCUACGGGAGGCAGCAGUAGGGAAUCUUCCGCAAUGGACGAAAGUCUGACGGAGCAACGCCGCGUGAGUGAUGAAGGUUUUCGGAUCGUAAAGCUCUGUUGUUAGGGAAGAACAAGUGCCGUUCAAAUAGGGCGGCACCUUGACGGUACCUAACCAGAAAGCCACGGCUAACUACGUGCCAGCAGCCGCGGUAAUACGUAGGUGGCAAGCGUUGUCCGGAAUUAUUGGGCGUAAAGGGCUCGCAGGCGGUUUCUUAAGUCUGAUGUGAAAGCCCCCGGCUCAACCGGGGAGGGUCAUUGGAAACUGGGGAACUUGAGUGCAGAAGAGGAGAGUGGAAUUCCACGUGUAGCGGUGAAAUGCGUAGAGAUGUGGAGGAACACCAGUGGCGAAGGCGACUCUCUGGUCUGUAACUGACGCUGAGGAGCG